GACGAACGCUGCGGCGUGCUUAACACAUGCAAGUCGAACGGAAAGGCCUGCUUUCCCUUGUGGAUUGCGGGUACUCGAGUGGCGAACGGGUGAGUAACACGUGAGUGAUCUGCCCCCAACUUGGGUAUAAGCCUGGGAAACUGGGUCUAAUUCCCGAUAGGACUGCAGGGUGGUGCCUGUGGUGGAAAACGAUUUUCUAGUGGUUGGGGAUGAGCUCGCGGCCUAUCAGCCUGUUGGUGGGGUAAUGGCCUACCAAGGCGGCGACGGGUAGCCGGCCUGAGAGGGUGGACGGCGACAUUGGGACUGAGAUACGGCCCAGACUCCUACGGGAGGCAGCAGUGGGGAAUAUUGCACAAUGGGCGGAAGCCUGAUGCAGCGACGCCGCGUGGGGGAUGACGGCCUUCGGGUUGUAAACUCCUUUCGACCGCGAGGAAGCCACCUGGUUGGAAGGGUGGUGACGGUAGUGGUAGAAGAAGCACCGGCUAACUACGUG
RNAcentral lists this ribosomal RNA (493 nucleotides) under uncultured bacterium. RNAcentral's name for it is "partial 16S ribosomal RNA". It matches the Rfam family "Bacterial small subunit ribosomal RNA", at positions 28 to 507 of the family's 1533-position model. The record is from RNAcentral.